This 465-nucleotide ribosomal RNA is filed under the name uncultured bacterium. RNAcentral's name for it is "partial 16S ribosomal RNA". It matches the Rfam family "Bacterial small subunit ribosomal RNA", at positions 338 to 795 of the family's 1533-position model. The record is from RNAcentral.
CCUACGGGUGGCUGCAGUAGGGAAUUUUCGUCAAUGGGCGCAAGCCUGAACGAGUAAUGCCGCGUGAACGAGGAAGGUCUUCGGAUCGUAAAGUUCUGUUGAAGGGGAAAAAGAGCGGAGAGAGGAAAUGAACUCCGAUUGAUAUUACCCUUCGAGGAAGUCACGGCUAACUACGUGCCAGCAGCCGCGGUAAUACGUAGGGGGCGAGCGUUAUCCGGAAUGAUUGGGCGUAAAGGGUGCGUAGGCGGCCUGCUAAGUCUGGAGUGAAAGGUACCGGCUUAACCGGGACAGGCUCUGGAAAAUGGGGGGAUAGAGGGCAGGAGAGGGAGGUGGAACUGCAAGGGUAGCGGUAAAAUGCGGAGAUAAAUGGAAGAAAACCAGUGGCGAAGGGGGCCGCCUGGCAUGUUGACUGACGCUGAGGCACGAAAGCGUGGGGAGCAAAUAGGAUUAGAUACCCUAGUAGUC